CGGAAGAUUUAUAACUUAAUUUACAACAUAUGAUGAAGUAUAAACUUAACUAAAUUUCCAAAAGGUGUGUAGAGUAGCGGAAGCAUCUUAGGUGAAGCUUCUAAGGUAGAAGAGGUGGAUAAAUCAUGUCGCACCCACCGACAUGACCUCCAUAAGCAGUCUAAGUCAGCACCUGCAACAGGGGUUAUAAAACCCUGAGUACAAAAGUACUCAACAAGACUUAACCGACUAUAAAAGAGGUGAAAACUCAGGUAUGCAGGCUAUAGGGAUUCAAGGUAAAGCUUUAGCAAGAUCAAAGCAUUUCUUUUGCAUAAAAGCUUACUAAGAGUAAAACCUACUUUCAAGUUUUAACUCAAGGUUAUCAUUUAUGACUAACCAAUUAUUAUCAAGCUUCCAAACCAUAUCUUUCUUAUACCAAAGAUUCACUUAUUACUACGAUGAUGGUACGAGGAUUGAGGCUCCAUAUCCGAGGAAACACGGCGAUUCGAAUCGAUUAAACCCAGCUGGGGAUUCAGUACCACACGACAUAUGUAGAACUUAAUCUUGCAUAUGUCAACCUGUUUCUAUAGAUCCUCCCAUACAAGAACGGGUCCAGCGUCACCCGAGAGUACAGUACACCACCAUCCUACAGCCAAUCUAGAUGUUUCCCAGUCAUCUCAGAUCCGUAAGGUGGGUACACGCUACUCUCGCCAUCUCUCCACUCCCAGUACGCGGUUAGCCGUUCUCAAGUAUCGGAAUAGCUAUAGGUAAGGCUUACCACCGCAUGUGGGCUGUACUCAAAGAUCUCAAUCACAACAGGCCAACAACGGUACGGUCCUUAAUCGACACAGUUGGAGACACUACUUUAAGACUCCAUUCUUAAAGCAAGUCCACCGACCGGUCUCAAGUUAAACAUCAUUAACCAUAAAAGUAUUCCACAACAACCCUUCAAACUUUCUCAUUUGAAAACCUAUCUAAUAAGCAUGGCUAAGCAUACUAAGCAUUUUCAUAAAGCACGUAUCAAGGUUAAUAUUGAAAUUAUCAAGGUAGAUAAUGCAGCAAAUAGGAUUCACUCAACUCCUAUUCACCUAAUGCAUUAUAUUAACUCAAGUGAUAUAAAUAACUUUAUGAAAAUACAAGGAUAGGGUUUAAUGUCCGGGGCUUGCCUUGACCGGAAGGGAAGUUCGGCAACUCAGCAAAACCCGAAGGAUCCACAAACUCGGAAGCAACCCACUGAGGAUCAGAUUCUUCCGGAGCGUAUUCUAUACGUAAAAGUGCAUAUGCAUGAUUAUGAGAUACUCAUGGCAUGAUAAAGACAGGUUACAUGUUCUUGGAUGACAACAACAAACAUGACUAUCUCGAGUACAACUUACCUUCACGGUAUAGAAACAACUAACUUAGCUAUCAAACAUAGAUUAGUACUAAGUAAGUUUUAUCAUCUUCAUUAAGCAAGGUUGUGUAAUUAUCAGACACAAAGAUCAGUUAUAUGAAAAUAAUCCAUAACCAGGGAGCAUAUCAUGCCAAGUAACCACUGGUUGUCAAUCAAUCCCAAAGAUCAAUCAAAACCUAAAAUGAUUAGGUUUUCUAUUUAUCUUAUUCAAUUCUUAAUUAAAUAUUAAUGGCAGUAAUUAAGUAUUAACAUCAAACAAUAAUUAAGUGCCAAAGGUCAUUAAAGAUAAUGACCUCAGGUCAUCACACAAUUCCAAAAUCACUCAAAUUCUAAUUUGGAAAUUAAGCUACUCAUUAUUUAAGUAAAGGCUAGCUAAAAACAAUCAACUCUAUUUGCACACAUAACCAGGACAGCAGCAUAUAUGCAACUUCAUUCAACCAUAAUUAGAGAUCCAAGCAUCCAAUAAAGGAGAUAUUAGACUUUCUGGGAAGCUUAGAUAAUUUUCUACAACUUUGUUAUUAUCUUCGAGAACUGAUUUAAUAGAUAAAAUGGCCAAACAGUAUGAAUAAACAAUUCUGUCCAGACCUUAGACAGAAUCAGACCUUAAGCUUCAUAGAUCUAUAACCAGAGUUCUAGAUCACCAAAAUUCAUGAUCCAUAACAUUUUGGAAAGCUUAUGAAAAUUAAUACAAUUCAUCUUUUAUCAUGAAAGCAUGAUUCAUAAGUUUAGUAGGUCGAAAUUGCACAACUACAGAAACUGAUCCAGGAUUUGACAGAAAGGAACCAUUUCUGAAACUUAAAUUUAAACAGGCAUAACUCAGAAACUAUAGAGCCAAAUACCACCAAAAUUUAACACCAGCUAGAUACAUGAAUUCUAUACAACUUUGUUAUAGACAAGUUUCAUAUCCAACAUUAUUUACCUAGAGAAAUUCAUAAUGCUCUAAAAACUAUCGAGAAACCACUAACAAAUAAAUUAUAGAGAAAUCAUAUUUCAUUUAUGUUCCAAACUUGAACCUUGGCAAAACCCAGCUCACCAACAGUUGAAAUACAUCAAAGAGAUACUAGAAAACAUCAUGGCUAUCCCUAAAUAAAUACAUUUCAUGUCUUUAUUAAUUUAUUUAGAUAAAUAGACUAAGUAAUAACCAUAUAUCAAAAGUACACAGUAAAUUCUGAGAAAACUACAGCAGCUCAUAUAUGUUCUCCAAAGUCUACUGUAUAAAUUUCAUGCCAUUUGGAUAAGUAUAGCAAUUUCCAUAAAAAAGAUAAAUUUCCAUCACAAGGAAGCAUGUAACAACAAGAUAAAUAAGAAACAUGACAUUUUCUACAAACACAUAGCUAAAUUAUGUACCUAUAUGAUAUAAAAACCUCAUAUAAAGGUACAGGAACCAUAUUUUACAUUUAUUAAUUUUUAGUUUGAUUUUAAACUAUUUAAUAAGCACUAAACAAGAUAAAUUAAUAACUUAAUCAUAUGUCAUCCAAUGAAUCUAAAAACUUAACCACAGCACACACACAUAAUCAUUAGUUUACCAUAAAAGUUUCAUCUUAAAAUAAGCUAUACAGCAAAAGAUAUGAAUUUCUUCCUUUUAAGCAUAAUUAAAAGACAUAAUUCAUAACUAAUUAUUUUACUAUAAAACAUGGUCAGUUUCAUAUUUUUAAUAAAAACUAGACAUCUCAAGGAGCACAACAAAAUUUGGUUCACCAAAAUUGGAGCUACCAAACUCUAGAUAUGAAUUUUCAAACAUUCAACAAAACAUCUACAAACAAGUCCUUAUAGCACUAUUCACCUGAGUCACGAACUUCGCAGUUAGACCCUUGCCUUGUGUCGAAUUCCAAUGCGAAGUCCCUGGCGCGAAUCCAGAGCAGAGGAUAUUGGACGAAACCUGAUUUCCAGCCUGUUGACGUUCGUUGAGGGCGAGGGGAGGAGUUGGGGAGCAUCAGAGACUCACCACGACUUUGUCAAGCUGCUCAGAAGUGAUGGAGAAGCACGGAGGAGGGCUGGCAACGGUGGCGAGGUUGCGGCGGCGUUUCUGCCGACUCCGGGGAAGAAGAGAGCCGGCUAGGGAAUUGGAGAGGGUUGAGCAUGCUUGAGUGGACGCUAUCGCGUCGCAAGAGGAUGGCGGAGCUGCUGGUCCUCGAUAGAGAGUGUGGGCGGCGUGUUAUGGUGACGACGGCAAAACACGGCGGCGGCAGUUAACAGGAAGAAUGGCGGCUUGGGUUCAGUGGAUGAGGAUGGCUCCAGUUGAGGUCGAGACAACAAGCAAGCAGGCAGCUGCGUGGGCUCUCAUGCAGAGUGCCAGCGCGAGCUCAGCAGCGCCACGGAGCGGCGUUGGCCACCGACGUUGGUCAGUGCACUGUAGCAGUGUCUAUCCCCUUCUCUGGUUUUUUUUUAAAUUACUCCCAAAAUUUGAAUAGAAGUCAAAUUUCUGCCAAAAUAAAACUUGUUCAGAAUUUUGAAUGCUACAAAACAUCUUUAAGGGCCCAAGGCUGAUUUUAAAUGGAAAGGGACGAAUUUGAUCCAAACAGUUUGAAAUUCAAAUCUCAAAUUGGGAAAAAUUCCAAUUUUGAAUUGGGGCAGAUUAGAAAUUCCAAAAUUACUUUUGAUUUUCCAAAUCAACUUGAAAAACUCCCAACAUGAAAGUUGUUCAAAUUUUCAAGCCCUACAACUUUCAUGUUGACCAUUUUUAAAAAUUCUAAAUAGAUUUUGAAUUGAAAACUCAAACUAGAAAAGGGGACACUUUCCGGAAAUCUGUAUUUUCAAAAUUACUUUGAAACCAAAGUUGUACAUCUUGACAAGAUCUACAACUUUUCUUUUGAACUCAACUUCAAAUUUUGCUUGGUUUUUGAAUUGCACAAAAGGGGGUAAAAACUGAGGUUGAAAUUAGGGGUUUUUCGUAGCUAUUCCCUUACCACCCUCCUUAACUAGGGAUUAAACAACCAUCACAAGCAUCACUUCACAAGAUAAACACACUUUAAUUCCCUAAGCACAAUCAACCAAAAUAAACUUAUUUUAAUUUGAUGCAUAAUGAUGUGCAUAACAAAUAUGCUUUGAAAUGCUUAUGAUGACAUGAUCCAGUUUUAGUGUUCGUAACAUCAGGGAUGUUACAUUGCAUUCUUUUAUGGAGAAAGGGAGUAUAUUUAUAUAAUGAUAUAUCACCCAUUUAAGAGAAGAAACUAGUGGAAAGCGCGCGCCAUCGCGCGCGUAGGUAGCCACAUAGAAGGUAAACACAAUAAGAGCUAUAGAAAAAUAUAUAGCUCUAUGUAUAUAUCACAUACGUUAAUUAACAGUGGAAAAGGUUAAGUUCAGUUUCUCUAAAACGAGAGUGAAUCUUUCGUGUAGAAAGCCAUACUCGUGGCCUCAUGAGGACUUACAAUUGACUAUAUGUAUGCAUAUUUGCAAUAUGUACAUAAAUCCUUCCUUCUAUUCUAUCUGAUGACAUGUUCCUAUUGGCAAGGUGUCGAUUCAAUUUAUACCAGCUAUCCUGCAUAAAGAACAGUUAACGGAUCAAGCCAUCAGAAUGUGAGCGUAGCCUGCAAAAUACCAUAACAACAUGCAAUAGUUCCAAGGGAACACAAAUAAUCUCAGCAGACCAAUGGAACCAUAUAAUGAUUUCUUUUCUCAUGAAUAAAUGCGGCAAGCACAUAAGGAUGAAAAGAAAUUUGAAAGGACCAACUAAAAUAUAGAAAUAACAACAGACCAAAUGAACCUACUAAAACCGUACAUAUUAACAACAGACCAUAGGAACCUUCUCUAAAACAGCACAUAUCACAAGGGGUAAUGGCCUGAGCUAUAAGAACCACACGAAAAGAACAAAACAUGAACUGGUUGUAGCUAUAUGCCUUUUGGUAUGGAUUACCGAACAGAAAUCUAUUAGCAGACUGUCAUGGUCGGGCGCACGUACGUGAGACGGCGCCGCGCCCGUGAUGUGCGUCGCGCCCUGGAGCGCUCAGCUGCCAUGCAGGCAGGCGCGCAGGGGGGUUAGCACCGUAAGUGGCUAGGAAAGGAAUUAGGAGAUUCUGUUCCUUAGAUUGAGGAGUUUGUUACUCUUUUAGUUGGGCCUCUGGCCAUAUAAAUUGUAAUCAGGGACUCAAAGGAAAUCAAUCAAGUAUUAUCCAUCUAUUCUCGUCCUCUAACUCCUAAGCCGGCAACUAGGGGGCAUAACCCAGUUGACGAAGGCGACGACGGCGUGGGGGCAUAACCCAGCCGGCGGCGACGGAUCGCGACUACGAGCUGCGUAGUCGGGGUCCAGCUACCCUGGGCACUACCGCCCUUGACAACCUGGUAUCUAGGUCUCGUCGAUCCUCUCCCACCCGUUCCACGCAAUCCUCCACUGCCGCACCUGCCCAUCACCAACCCACCUCGCCGCAGUCGCCCAUCUCCGCUGCACCAGCGCCCACCAUGGCCGACCCAACCCUGGCUGAUGUCCUGGCGGCCUUGAAGACUCUCUCCGCAGAUGUGGCCACCAUGCAGGCCGACAUGGCUGUGAUGAAGAAGGAAAAGUCUGCGUCGUCCUCCGGCGGCGGCGGCGAGUUCCGCACGGAGGGUCCGCUCCCCGAUCAUCCCCCGAAGCACAAGCGAUGGGAUUUCCCCCGUUUCGACGGGACGACCGAUCCGCUGCUGUUCCUCAACAAGUGCGACGCCUAUUUUCGCCAGCACCGCACGCUGGCAGAAGAGCGCGUAUGGAUGGCAUCCUACCACCUGGAUGACGUCGCACAGCUCUGGUUCACGCAGCUGCAAGACGACGAAGGAACACCGUCCUGGGGGCGCUUCAAAGACCUCCUCGACCUGCGCUUCGGGCCGCCCCUGCGCUCGGCACCGCUGUUUGAGCUGGCUGAAUGCCGGCGCACCGGUACCGUUGAGGAGUACUCCAAUCGGUUCCAAGCCCUUCUUCCCCGCGCCGGUCGCCUGGAGGAAUCCCAACGUGCCGGUGCCUCGCUCGGCGCGGGCGGUGCGGGGUUUCCUCGGCUUGGCGGGGUACUACCGCAAGUUCAUCCACAACUAUGGCGCGAUGGCGGCCCCACUCACCAGCCUGCUCAAGAAGGAGGGUUUCUCCUGGAACGCAGAAGCUGCUGCGGCGUUCGACGACCUCAAGGCCGCGGUGACCACCGCCCCGGUGCUGGCCAUGCCCGACUUCGCCAAGCCGUUCGUGGUGGAGUGUGACGCGUCGUCCCACGGCUUUGGGGCGGUGCUGCUGCAAGAUGGACAUCCGAUCGCAUUCUUCAGUCGGCCGGUGGCGCCGCGACAUCGCGCUCUUGCUGCCUAUGAGCGCGAACUGAUCGGGCUGGUUCAGGCGGUCCGACACUGGCGCCCAUAUCUCUGGGGACGUCGUUUCAGCGUCAAGACGGAUCACUACAGCCUCAAGUACCUGCUGGAUCAACGCCUGGCCACAAUCCCGCAGCACCAUUGGGUUGGCAAGCUACUGGGCUUCGACUUCUCCGUUGAGUACAAGCCCGGCGCCACGAACGCAGUGGCAGACGCGCUGUCCAGACGGGACACGGAGGAUGGGGUGCUGCUCACCCUUUCGGCCCCCCGCUUCGAUUUCGUUGAUCGCCUACGUCAAGCACACCGGGAUGACCCGGCCCUCGUCGCCCUCCACGCCGAGAUCACAGCAGGGACACGCCCGGCGCCGUGGUCCCUCGUCGACGGCCUGGUCCAUUUCGGCAGCCGGCUCUAUAUCCCACCCGCCUCCCCACUGCUCCAAGAGAUCCUGGGGGCGAUUCAUGCCGACGGCCAUGAGGGCGUUCAGCGCACACUGCACCGUCUCCGCCGAGAUUUCCACUUCCCCAACAUGAAGCAACGGGUACAGGACCUGGUGCGCACAUGCGCAGUGUGUCAACAGUACAAGUCUGAGCACCUGCAGCCCGCAGGCCUGCUCCUUCCGCUGCCGGUGCCGCAGGGCGUGUGGACAGACAUCGCGCUGGAUUUUGUGGAAGCCCUCCCCCGCGUCCGCGGGAAGUCGGUCAUCCUCACCGUGGUGGACAGAUUCAGCAAAUAUUGUCAUUUCAUACCCUUGGCACAUCCGUACUCCGCUGAAUCGGUCGCUCAAGCCUUCUUCGCUGACAUUGUCCGUCUCCACGGUGUUCCUCAAUCCAUCGUGUCGGACAGGGACACGGUCUUCACGUCGGCCUUUUGGCAGGAGCUUAUGAGGCUGAUGGGCACGAAACUGCAGAUGACCACGGCGUUCCACCCCCAGUCCGAUGGGCAGUCAGAAUCAGCUAACCGUGUCAUCGUCAUGUACCUACGUUGUUUGACGGGGGACCGGCCUCGCCAGUGGGUAAGAUGGCUGCCGUGGGCGGAGUACCUAUUCAACACGGCAUAUCAGUCGUCCUUGCGGGACACUCCCUUCAGGGUGGUCUAUGGUCGGGAUCCGCCCUCCAUCCGUUCUUAUGAACCAGGCGACACCAGGGUCCAAGCUGUCGCCAAAACUAUGGAGGAACAGGAUGAAUUUUUGGCUGAUGUACGCUACCGGCUGGAGCAGGCUCAAGCUUCGCAGAAGCUGUACUACGACCGCAACCACCGCUCUGUCAGUUACCAGGUCGGGGACUGGGCACUCCUUCGUCUUCGGCAACGGGCAGCGUCCUCGCUUCCUCAGGCUGCGGGCGGCAAGCUCAAGCCCCGCUUCGUCGGGCCUUACCGCGUGGUGCAACUCAUCAAUGAUGUUGCUGUCCGCCUCGCGCUGCCCACAGGCGCUCGCAUCCAUGAUGUUGUUCAUGUGAGCCUCCUCAAGAAGUUCCACGGCGAGCCGCCAGCUGCGACGCCACCGCUUCCUCCACUGCGUCAUGGCGCCAUCGAGCCGGAGCCUGAGCGUGCAGUACGCUACCGUCUUGCCCGUGGCGUCCCCCAGGUGUUAAUCAAGUGGAAGGACUGCUCAGCUGCCUCUUCAACAUGGGAAGACACGGACGCUUUCCGCACCAGGUUCCCCUCCUUCCAGCUCGAGGACGAGCUGACUCUCGACGGAGAGGGAGAUGUCAUGGUCGGGCGCACGUACGUGAGACGGCGCCGCGCCCGUGAUGUGCGUCGCGCCCUGGAGCGCUCAGCUGCCAUGCAGGCAGGCGCGCAGGGGGGUUAGCACCGUAAGUGGCUAGGAAAGGAAUUAGGAGAUUCUGUUCCUUAGAUUGAGGAGUUUGUUACUCUUUUAGUUGGGCCUCUGGCCAUAUAAAUUGUAAUCAGGGACUCAAAGGAAAUCAAUCAAGUAUUAUCCAUCUAUUCUCGUCCUCUAACUCCUAAGCCGGCAACUAGGGGGCAUAACCCAGUUGACGAAGGCGACGACGGCGUGGGGGCAUAACCCAGCCGGCGGCGACGGAUCGCGACUACGAGCUGCGUAGUCGGGGUCCAGCUACCCUGGGCACUACCGCCCUUGACACAGACCUCAAAAAACCAAAAUGUCAGCAAGACCUAGUGAGACAUGGAUUACCGAAUUAGCAAUCUGCUGGUAAGUAUAGCCAAUGCAGUAAUAACUCAUGGCUGAUUUGGAUGGUGCUUUGUUUAUCAUGUCUGACAUAUGAUUAAAUUUUCUUUCACUUUGGUGAAGCGCUAAGCCUUGCUAUAUAGGGAAAGUAUUUUCAUUUUGUACACUACCUUGAGUAAAGAUAUUUUAAAUAGCAGUAACAAUAUAAUAAAAACAUAGUGUGCUGUUAUUGGCCGAAUGUAAAUUGACAAGAAGGUUUUUUUACCUAUAUAUGAGAAUAGAUCGGCAAAAUGUUGGGAGUAUAUGUGCACCUGCAAACAAAGAGGUAAGAAUUAAAUUACCACCUUAGGUCCUGUCAGAAGCUAUUUCUAUUUUGGGUGGGUUUUUAGUUAGUAAUAAAAUUGUAGGGCAGGGAUAAACAUAUGCAGAUCAAAGAAAACAUUAUCUCCAUAUCUGCUAAAGAGCAGAUGGUAUAGGAGGAACCUAGCCAAUCAGUAUUUCUAUAUGCAUGAAAAUUAUGAACAUUUCAGUUGUACUAUUUAACUGGAAGCACAUAUGAGAAGGCAUAUAAGCCGACAAUAGUACACACAAGACUGGAUCUGCUACUUUGUUUAGAUGCACAAUUUAUUGAGGUAGUCAACAUGGUAGCAAAGGUCAAGGCAUUGUAUGUUGGGCAAUGCUAACUGUCAGUGCUUUUUAUACUAAAAUUGCUUGUUGCAUACCUCAGUGAGGACCUGCAACAGGGAAGGCGCAACAUAAUAUUAAAGGGAUUGAACUGGAUGGACAAGAUGGCCAAAUGAAUUAGGAGUCAUCUAACCUUUGCCAUGCAAUAUCACAAGCACAUGACGUGGUAGAGUAUAAGCCAAAUGAAGCAAAAUAUUAUCAACAAACAGUAGGUCCUACCAAAACAAAUAAAAAGAGAUGAACAUGGAAAUCCAGCAAAGGAAAGUACGGUAGGAGAAAAAAUAAUAAAUUAAUACCACAGGAACAAUUUCCUGCACAAGCGUAAAGGUACAUUUUAAAUCUCAAAAGGAAAAAAGAAGCAACUUACAUUUUUUUAUAGUGUCCAUGAUUAACCAAUAAGCUUCAUCUUCCUGAAGUUACACACAGACACAAAUUGCUUAGUGCAAAGCAAAAUCCCAUGUUACACUGAAUGGCAACAAAAAUGGCACAAGGCAGAGCUGCUUUGAUUCUUGAAAACCCUAUGUGUAGCAGUAUCAAUAAUCAAAUAGCAUCACCUUGAAAGAUUAAUCGGAGCACCACGAACAUAUAGAUUUUCUAAAAGCCAGAGAACUCUAUCAAAGCAGGUCUGCCUUGUGUCUUCUUUUUGUGAAAGCAGUUCUGCAUUCAGAAAUAGAACCAAUCUAUUUUCUAAAAUCAAAAUAGAAUUUGACCAGUUUUGCAUCAACUAAAGGUAAUGUUCCAUUGGUGGCCUAGCAGGCUAGCACUGAAAAACUAAAAAUAUUGCUAUCACAAAGGUAGUGUUCCAUUGUUGGCAUAGCACAGGAAACUCGAAAUAUUGCUAUCACAAGAAGAUUGCACCAUAUCCAAAAUAGAAAUUAAUUGGUGAUAAGUAACAUGCUAAAAAUAUAGCUUCCAUGUUUUUGUCCAAUCGAACUUCAUAAUAGGCAGACUUUAUUUGGCUCAUCUGAUAUAAACUAAAAUGGAAGUUCCACCGCAUGUAGCAAGAAUUUGAUUGUCUAAUCUAACCCUACAAAAAUGUAAAAGUAGUUGAGUAUAUGGAAGUAUUACUAAAGAACACAUUUAAAAGAGAGGUCUCGAGGCGAAGGAAAGUCCUAGAUUCCAUUUUUAUAAACAUGAUAUUACUUUGGAUGUGCAAAUACAAAUAAACCUAUGUAGGUUUUUCAUAUAGCCUAAAACAGUUUUCAUAGUUUGAAAGGCAUUGUUAAAUUAGGCACUAUUGUACUCUUCCUAGGUUUUGGUUGUUUACUGCUAGGUAUAGCGCAUCCGGUUUGAUUUUGCAAGCCUUUCAGACAUGGGAAGGGUCUGUAAUGCAAAUAGUCUCUCCAUGAUGAUAGUAGUAGUUGUGAUGAUGAACAUGACACUCCAUCCAUCUCAAAAUAUGUAGUGGUCUUUCUUUUAGGAUAUACUAGUGUUUAAUAAAAGGUACUUGUGUAUCAUUUUUAUAAGGUAGGAGGAAAUUCUAUUUGGCAUGCUCCAGCCUAUACAUAUAAUUUUUGUUUCAUGUGAUUUACCUCUAGAAGAUUGAAUCCCAUGAUGCUAGCCAAAUUGGAAGCAGACACUGGGAGCCCUUGCCGUACCUAAUCAUAAGCCUUUCUAUCAAAAGAAGCAGCAACACCAAGAAUAGCUAAUUGUUGCUAGUCGUAAUGAAAAAUACAAUUGAGUUCCUAACAAUCUAAUAAUAGACAUAAAAGCAAAGUCAAUGCAGGUAUCAAGGAAAGUUCCCAGCUAGAACUAUCAAGUUUCGAACAUUAUUAAUAGCCAUAAUUAGUCGAGUAGGGAAUAAAGAAGCACAAUAGCUUAAAUUAGCUCAUAUCGGCCUUUCCCUAAGCCAAAUGCACCUAAAUGUUUAUGAAGAAAGCACUGAAUUAGAGUAAUCAAGGAUGAUCAAUUCUGGGCAUUGCAACGAUCAUCUCAAAUAAAGUAAUAUACUUACCUAUAUAUCCUAGAGUUAAUGGCAGAACACUAUACGUAAUAGAUAGAGAGUUGGGGAUGGAGAUUAGGGGCAAGCACCUGUUUUUUCGGACGAAUAGAAUCAAUCAUUGAAACUCCAGUGUAGAUUAGAAGAGGGGUCAGGUCACGGUUGCAUCGCGGGUGUCAAGCACAGGGAGUUAGGGUUUCGUGGAGCUCACCGAAACGGCGGGAGCGGCCAGCGCCAUGGGGCAGGCACGCCGGCGGCCAGGGAAUGGCGGCCGCUGAGGCAUACGCGCGCCACCGUGCACCAAAUCGGCGAUGCAGUCGCCCGGGCAGGGCACCGCGCAGUGAGUAGGCGGCGCCGAGGCUCGGCAGGCACACUGCGAUGCCGAGAGAGAGGGAGAGGGAGAGGGAGGAGGAGAAGGAGAGUGGAAGGGAGCGGCGUCACCGUGCCCCGCUCGCGGCCGUCGCCGUCACUGUUGUCCGCGUCGGGAGGAAGAGCGAGAGCGAGAGGGAGAGGGAGACCGAGCGAGGGAGGAGAAGGGUCAAGACGCAGAAGGCUCGGGAAGGUGGAGCCGAAGCUGUUGUAUAUAUUUGCUUUUCGG
This 11995-nucleotide long non-coding RNA is filed under the name Sorghum bicolor (sorghum). RNAcentral describes it as "long non-coding RNA (SBIC_LNC001432)". Lineage: Eukaryota; Viridiplantae; Streptophyta; Magnoliopsida; Poales; Poaceae. The record is from RNAcentral.